RNAcentral lists this ribosomal RNA (578 nucleotides) under uncultured bacterium. Its description in RNAcentral is "bacterial SSU rRNA". It matches the Rfam family "Bacterial small subunit ribosomal RNA", at positions 338 to 916 of the family's 1533-position model. The record is from RNAcentral.
CCUACGGGAGGCAGCAGUAAGGAAUAUUGGUCAAUGGACGCAAGUCUGAACCAGCCAUGCCGCGUGAAGGAUUAAGGUCUUCUGGAUUGUAAACUUCUUUUAUAUGGGACGAAAACAGAUCUUUCUAGGUCCUUUGACGGUACCAUAUGAAUAAGCACCGGCUAACUCCGUGCCAGCAGCCGCGGUAAUACGGAGGGUGCAAGCGUUAUCCGGAUUCACUGGGUUUAAAGGGUGCGUAGGCGGGUAGGUAAGUCAGUGGUGAAAUCCUGGAGCUCAACUCCAGAACUGCCAUUGAUACUAUCUAUCUUGAAUAUUGUGGAGGUAAGCGGAAUAUGUCAUGUAGCGGUGAAAUGCUUAGAUAUGACAUAGAACACCCAUUGCGAAGGCAGCUUACUACGCAUAUAUUGACGCUGAGGCACGAAAGCGUGGGGAUCAAACAGGAUUAGAUACCCUGUAGUCCACGCCCUAAACGAUGGAUACUCGACAUACGCGAUACACAGUGUGUGUCUGAGCGAAAGCAUUAAGUAUCCCACCCUGGAAGUACGUUCGCAAGAAUGAAACUUAAAUAGAAUUGACGG